UUUCAUAUUUUCUUUUAUUUCCUUACAAAAAUAAUUUAAAAAGUUCCACAAAUUCAGAACUUGGCAACUCUUUAGCGACCUGAACACACACACACACACACACACACACACACACACACAUUAUGUAUACCCCUACACACAUACAUACACAUGUACACACACACAUACAUACAUACACAAAUACACGACAAGAAAAGGAACUCAAAUAUAUUCUACAUUAAUUACGUGUAAAAUUUGAGUGUGUUACAGAUUUGAGUUUUUUCACGAAUUUUGAGUUUUGUCUUUUUCAUGAAUUUUGAGUUUUUCAUAAUUUUCCGUUCUUAACUUUUUGCAAAUUUCGUUUUUCCAGACAAAUUUUGAGUUUUGUUUUCUAUAAUUUUAGUUUGAACUGCAAAUUAAUUUUUCUCACAAGAUUAAGCUUUUUUUCAAAAUUUUAUCUUUUUUUUCACAAAUUUCAAGUUUUAUUCCUUUUAUAAAUUUUAGGUUUUCCACAAAAUUUAGUUGAAACUUUUUACAAAUUUAAGUUUUUGCCUUUUUACAAAUAUCAUUUUAAAUAUUCCUUUACAAAUUUUGGAUUUUCGCAAAUUUUCACUUUUUUCCACAAUUUUCACCUUAAUCUUUUCCAAAAAUUUCCAGCUCACCUCACAAACACUUCCUCUUCAUACCCUUGUUCAAAAUCUCUUCUUUUACUGAAAUCAAAAUCUUGCCAAAAUCUCUCUCUAAAAAAUUUCUUAAGAUACCAAUUUUAUAAGUAAUUCCUACAGUAGCAGCAACAAUAGUAGUAGUAGUUGUAGUAGUGGUAGCAGUAGUAGUAGUAGUAGUUAUCUAUGGUUCUUAUAAUUAUGCUAAGUACACAAAUUACAUCAACCAAUCAUUAAUUUUACUACAUUUAUUAAACCAACCAAUCAUUCUGUCUACAUUAUUUUUUCUCUUAAUAUAGGAACGCUUUUUUUAUAUAUAUUACCCGAUUAAAAUUAGAUACUUUCCUCUUUCCUAAUUUAUUUAUUUUUAAAACUUUCUUUCUCUCUCAUAUUGUUAAAAGGUUUGUCUCUCUCUCUCUCUCUCUCUCUCUCUCACGACUCUCUCUAAUAUUAGUUUCUUUUCUCUCUCUCUUUCUCUCAUUGCAAUCUUUAAUAUUCUCUCUCACAAUCGUCUAAUAUUCUCUCUCUUUCACAUUCUCUCACACACAUUUUCUCUCUCUCUCUCUCUCCGAAUUUCCUCUUUUUUUCCUUCUUUCUUUUUGUCUUCCUUUCUUUCUCUCUCUCUCUCUCUCUCUCUCUCUACAAAUUUCAAUUAUAAUUAUCUCUCUCUUUACAAAUUUCAACUAUAAUUCUCUCUCUCUCUCUCUCUCUGUCUUUACAAAUUCCCCAAAAUCCCCGAGAUUCAAAAUUUCACUCACAGUUUCCACUCGAACAAAAUCACACAAAAAAUAAAUAAAAAUAAUAAUAAUAAUAAAAAUCGAAGCAGUCUUAGAAAAUAUAUUUACAGUUAGCACGAGACUAAAUAUUAUUAUCUUAUUAUUAACCUUAUUAUUAUUAUUAUUAUUAUUAGCUAAGUAUUAACCCUUAUUGUUAUCAUUAUUACUAUCAUCAUUAUUAUCGAUAUUUAUACAGCAUUUACAUUUGAAAACCGGCGAAUGAAUGAAUGAAUAGAUAAGUUACAUAAAUUAAGUGAAAAUGAAAAAUAUGAAAUAAUGAGAAAAUGAAGUCCAAAUAUUUUUUAGAUCGAAGACAAUGUUUCUCUCUCUCUCUCUCUCUCUCUCUCUCUCUCUCUCUCUAACACCAAAAAAUUCUACACACGGAAAAAUAAAUCAAAUAAAAUUGGAUAAAAAACGUACAUGAUUCUUUUUAACCUACAUGUGUGCGUGUGUGUGUACAAAAAUUUCUAUGUAUACAUGAAUUACGUACAUGAGACAGGAACAUGGCUAGGCACACACACACACACACACACACACACACACACACACACACACACACAAACUGAGAUCAUAGUUAUAUAUAUACACACAUAUACACGCACACACACAGAAACGUACACAAGACAACGAGGGGCUAAGUUACACACGUACACACACACACGUACACACACACAUGUAGACUAGCUAACCAACUGACGUACACACACACUUGAGCAAUGACUGUAUGACUGUAUUUACAAGAUGGUUAUGUACACCUAUUUACACGUACACACACACACACACACACACACACGCACAGAGCACCUUAAAAAUACCAAUAAUAAUAAUAAUAAUAAUAAUAAUAAUAAUAAUAAUAAUAAUAAUAAUAAUAAUAAUAAGUUAAUAAUGCCUUUGGUUGCAGUAGUAGUAGUAGUAGUAGUAGUAGUAGUAGUAGUAGUAGUAGAAGUAGUAGUAGAUGAAAAAAUAUAUAUAAAAAACAAAAAUAAUAAUAUGAACAGAAGAAAAAAAGAAAGAAAAGAGAGAGAGAGAGAGAGAGAGAGAGAGAGAGAGAGAGAGAGAGAGAGAGAGAGAGAGAGAGAGAGAGAAUAAGAAACAAGAAAAAACAAACAAGUAUAAAACAAGAAAGUAACAAAGGACGAGGAAAAACAAAACAAACAAACAAACAAACAUAUUCCACCGCCAUUUGAGUGCAUUAUAAGUGUUGGCUACUAACUUGGAACCUGCCAUAAGUGUAGUAGUAGAAGUAGUAGUAGUAGUAGAAGGCUUCAAAACGGGCAUAGAACAAAAAGUGAACAGGAAAAGAACAUGUUACACUUAUGUUCUGUAUAAGUAUGUGUAUUUAAAAGCUGUUAUAAGUGUAGUAGUAGUAGUAGUAGUAGUAGUAAGCUCAGAAACGCGUAUUAUACAAGACAGAAACGAGAAAAAAACAUGUUAUAUCUUCGUUUUAUAAGUGUAUUGGUGUGUCCAGAACCUGUUUAGAACGUGUAGACUGUAGUAGAAAUUGUAGUAGUAGUAGUAGUAGUAGACGUAGGAAGCUUGGAAACGAGUAUAAGACGAAUUUUGAACAGGUAAUAGACAUGUUACACCAAGGCUUAGUGUAAUUACGUAUGUUUGGGGGAUGUGACAAGCUGUAGAGAGUGCAGUAGUAGUAGUAGUAGUAGAAGUAGUAGUAGACGUAGGAGGCUUGGAAACGAGUAUAAGACGAAUUCUGAACAGGUAAUAGACAUGUUACACCAAGGCUUAGUGUAGUUACGUAUGUUUGGGGGAUGUGACAAGCUGUAGAGAGUGCAGUAGUAGUUGUAGUAGUAGUAGUAGUAGUAGUAGCACUAACACCCGGGCAUUCACAACACGGCUAUGUGCGGGGGCCUACAUCAAAGCGAAGGGCUGGACCCACAAAUACUAACACAUUUUUCACUCCUGGAAUCGAGCGAGGAGG
Long non-coding RNA from Eriocheir sinensis (Chinese mitten crab), 3353 nucleotides. RefSeq lists it as uncharacterized. The record is from RefSeq and is a predicted model, not a curated record. NCBI's taxonomy places the organism in Eukaryota, Metazoa, Arthropoda, Malacostraca, Decapoda, Varunidae. The transcript is spliced from 2 exons.